GGAUUGCAGGCUGCAACUCGCCUGCAUGAAGCUGGAAUUGCUAGUAAUCGCGGAUCAGCAAGCCGCGGUGAAUACGUUCCCGGGCCUUGUACACACCGCCCGUCACACCAUGAGAGUCGGGAACACCCGAAGUCCGUAGUCUAACCGCAAGGGGGGCGCGGCCGAAGGUGGGUCCGGUAAUUGGGGUGAAGUCGUAACAAGGUAGC
This 206-nucleotide ribosomal RNA is filed under the name uncultured bacterium. RNAcentral's name for it is "partial 16S ribosomal RNA". It matches the Rfam family "Bacterial small subunit ribosomal RNA", at positions 1295 to 1500 of the family's 1533-position model. The record is from RNAcentral.